AAGAUGGGCAUGCGUCUGAUUAGCUAGUUGGUGGGGUAAAGGCCUACCAAGGCGACGAUCAGUAGCCGGCCUGAGAGGGCGAACGGCCACACUGGGACUGAGACACGGCCCAGACUCCUACGGGAGGCAGCAGUGAGGAAUUUUCCGCAAUGGGCGCAAGCCUGACGGAGCGACGCCGCGUGAGGGAUGAAGGCUUUCGGGUUGUAAACCUCUUUUGUUUGGGAAAAAGGUCCGUGCUUGAAAAUAUUGAGUGCAUAUGACGGUACCCAAGGAGGAAGCCCCGGCUAACUACGUGCCAGCAGCCGCGGUAAUACGUAGGGGGCAAGCGUUGUCCGGAAUUAUUGGGCAAAGGGCGAGUAGGUGGUUUACUAAGUCAAGAGUGAAAACUCCAGGCUCAACUUGGAGACUGCUCUACGAAACUGGUAGACUUGAGUGCAAGAGAGGGAAGUGGAAUUCCUAGUGUAGCGGUGAAAUGCGUAGAUAUUAGGAGGAACACCAGUGGCGAAGGCGACUUCCUGGCCUGUAACUGACGCUGAGGCGCGAAAGCGUGGGGAGCAAACAGGAUUAGAUACCCUGGUAGUCCACGCUGUAAACGAUGAGUGCUAGGUGUCGGGGGUAUCGACCCCCUCGGUGCCACAGCUAACGCAAUAAGCACUCCGCCUGGGGAGUACGGUCGCAAGACUGAAACUCAAAGGAAUUGACGGGGGCCCGCACAAGCGGUGGAGUAUGUGGUUUAAUUCGACGCAACGCGAAGAACCUUACCAAGGCUUGACAUCCUGUGACAGCUAUAGAAAUAUAGACUUCUUAGUUUAAGCCCAGACACAGGUGGUGCAUGGUUGUCGUCAGCUCGUGUCGUGAGAUGUUGGGUUAAGUCCCGCAACGAGCGCAACCCUUGUUGCUAGUUACCAGCACGUAAUGGUGGGAACUCUAGCGAGACUGCCGGUGACAAACCGGAGGAAGGUGGGGAUGACGUCAAAUCAUCACGCCCCUUACGACCAGGGCUACACACGUACUACAAUGGCCUGAACAGAGGGAAGCGAAACUGCGAAGUUAAGCGAACCCCUUAAAACAGGUCCCAGUUCGGAUUGUAGGCUGCAACUCGCCUACAUGAAGUUGGAAUCGCUAGUAAUCGCAGGUCAGCAUACUGCGGUGAAUACGUUCCCGGCCCU
RNAcentral lists this ribosomal RNA (1169 nucleotides) under uncultured bacterium. Its description in RNAcentral is "bacterial SSU rRNA". It matches the Rfam family "Bacterial small subunit ribosomal RNA", at positions 222 to 1381 of the family's 1533-position model. The record is from RNAcentral.